AUAAAUAUAAUUAUAAUAAAUGUUCAUUAUAUGUUGAAAAUUACAAAAUCUGCAAAAAAUUUUGGGCAAAGAUAAUAAAUUAUCGAAAGAUAAAAAAUAUAAAACCCUAUGUUCCUUUACCAGAAGAACGACAAAAAAUAAAAGCAGAAUAUUUACAAUCACAAAAUAAAUAAUCUUUCAUGUAAUUUUGACAUACUGAAGAAUUGUAAUCGUAUAAUGGAUUAAAAUUUUUUUUUUUAUUAUAA
This is a long non-coding RNA of Apis dorsata (giant honeybee), 245 nucleotides long. RefSeq lists it as uncharacterized. Lineage: Eukaryota; Metazoa; Arthropoda; Insecta; Hymenoptera; Apidae. The record is from RefSeq and is a predicted model, not a curated record. The transcript has 2 exons.